RNAcentral lists this unclassified non-coding RNA (241 nucleotides) under uncultured fungus. RNAcentral describes it as "sequence contains ITS2". Lineage: Eukaryota; Fungi. The record is from RNAcentral.
AACGCACAUUGCGCCCCCUGGCAUUCUGGGGGGCAUGCCUGUUCGAGCGUCAUUACAACCCUCAAGCUCUGCUUGGUGUUGGGCGUCGUCACCUGUGGCGCGCCCCAAAGUCAGUGGCGGUGCCGUUCAGCUCCAAGCGCAGUAGCACUAUUCUCGCUUUAGGGGCCUGGGCGUGUGCCAGCCAGCAACCCACUACUCGAAGGUUGACCUCGGAUCAGGUAGGGAUACCCGCUGAACUUAA